GAGAGAUGGCCGCGGAGUCAGAGAAGACAGAAUCCUCCAGGGGCAGAGUCUGAAGAUAAUGUAAGCCCGAACUUGUCAGUGGUGUCUCAAUUAAAUCCUGCCAGGAGCGGCGUUGACUGGCUGUCUUGCGAAUAGGGGACACUGCACUGCUCCCGGUUACUUCCUGGCGAAACUCCUCAUGGGAAGACUGAGACUGAGAAGUCUCUGUGGAGGAAAGCCGGCUGUGUUUUGCUUCUACAUAAGGACUGGCACAACUCAUCUGUGGAAAAAAGCCUCUGAUCAAUCUCUACUGAAAUAACAGACCACUUCUACUGCCAAGGAACACAUUUGGUUUUCAUCAGACUAUGCUGUGUGUCUUUGAAAGAGCAACGCCAGAGAAGAGGCUACACAGAAAAUUGAGCCAACCUUCACAGUCACCACGGCCAAGAUCUUUGCAAGAAAUUCGUCUUUUGCUCUUGCCUGCUAUAGGACCUAAAGAUAACAAGGGAAUUUGGGUGAGAUGAUCCAGGUCAAUAUACUCUGCUCA
Long non-coding RNA from Cynocephalus volans (Philippine flying lemur), 526 nucleotides. RefSeq lists it as uncharacterized. The record is from RefSeq and is a predicted model, not a curated record. The transcript is spliced from 4 exons. Lineage: Eukaryota; Metazoa; Chordata; Mammalia; Dermoptera; Cynocephalidae.